CCUACGGGUGGCUGCAGUGGGGAAUAUUGGACAAUGGGGGCAACCCUGAUCCAGCCAUGCCGCGUGUGUGAAGAAGGCCCUCGGGUUGUAAAGCACUUUCAGUGAGGAAGAACGCCUGGUGGUUAAUACCCAUCAGGAAAGACAUCACUCACAGAAGAAGCACCGGCUAACUCCGUGCCAGCAGCCGCGGUAAUACGGAGGGUGCGAGCGUUAAUCGGAAUUACUGGGCGUAAAGCGCGCGUAGGUGGCUUGAUAAGCCGGUUGUGAAAGCCCCGGGCUCAACCUGGGAACGGCAUCCGGAACUGUCAAGCUAGAGUGCAGGAGAGGAAGGUAGAAUUCCCGGUGUAGCGGUGAAAUGCGUAGAGAUCGGGAGGAAUACCAGUGGCGAAGGCGGCCUUCUGGACUGACACUGACACUGAGGUGCGAAAGCUUGGGUAGCAAACAGGAUUAGAUACCCUAGUAGUC
This 465-nucleotide ribosomal RNA is filed under the name Vreelandella stevensii. RNAcentral describes it as "partial 16S ribosomal RNA". It matches the Rfam family "Bacterial small subunit ribosomal RNA", at positions 338 to 795 of the family's 1533-position model. The record is from RNAcentral. Lineage: Bacteria; Pseudomonadati; Pseudomonadota; Gammaproteobacteria; Oceanospirillales; Halomonadaceae.